RNAcentral lists this ribosomal RNA (346 nucleotides) under uncultured Lactobacillus sp. Its description in RNAcentral is "bacterial SSU rRNA". It matches the Rfam family "Bacterial small subunit ribosomal RNA", at positions 350 to 688 of the family's 1533-position model. Lineage: Bacteria; Bacillati; Bacillota; Bacilli; Lactobacillales; Lactobacillaceae. The record is from RNAcentral.
AGCAGUAGGGAAUCUUCCACAAUGGACGAAAGUCUGAUGGAGCAAUGCCGCGUGAGUGAAGAAGGGUUUCGGCUCGUAAAACUCUGUUGUUAAAGAAGAACACUCUUGAGAGUAACUGUUCAGGAGUUGACGGUAUUUAACCAGAAAGCCACGGCUAACUACGUGCCAGCAGCCGCGGUAAUACGUAGGUGGCAAGCGUUGUCCGGAUUUAUUGGGCGUAAAGCGAGCGCAGGCGGUUUCUUAAGUCUGAUGUGAAAGCCUUCGGCUUAACCGGAGAAGUGCAUCGGAAACUGGGAGACUUGAGUGCAGAAGAGGACAGUGGAACUCCAUGUGUAGCGGUGGAAUA